GGAGGGUUUCCGCCCUUCAGUGCUGCAGCUAACGCAUUAAGCACUCCGCCUGGGGAGUACGACCGCAAGGUUGAAACUCAAAGGAAUUGACGGGGGCCCGCACAAGCGGUGGAGCAUGUGGUUUAAUUCGAAGCAACGCGAAGAACCUUACCAGGUCUUGACAUCCUUUGACCACUCUAGAGACAGAGCUUCCCCUUCGGGGGCAAAGUGACAGGUGGUGCAUGGUUGUCGUCAGCUCGUGUCGUGAGAUGUUGGGUUAAGUCCCGCAACGAGCGCAACCCUUAUUGUUAGUUGCCAUCAUUCAGUUGGGCACUCUAGCAAGACUGCCGGUGACAAACCGGAGGAAGGUGGGGAUGACGUCAAAUCAUCAUGCCCCUUAUGACCUGGGCUACACACGUGCUACAAUGGGAAGUACAACGAGUUGCGAAGUCGCAAGGCUAAGCUAAUCUCUUAAAGCUUCUCUCAGUUCGGAUUGCAGGCUGCAACUCGCCUGCAUGAAGCCGGAAUCGCUAGUAAUCGCGGAUCAGCACGCCGCGGUGAAUACGUUCCCGGGCCUUGUACACACCGCCCGUCACACCACGAGAGUUUGUAACACCCGAAGUCGGUGAGGUAACCUUUUUGGAGCCAGCCGCCUAAGGUGGGAUAGAUGAUUGGGGUGAAGUCGUAACAAGGUAGCCGUAUCGGAAGGUGCGGCUG
RNAcentral lists this ribosomal RNA (696 nucleotides) under human gut metagenome. RNAcentral's name for it is "bacterial SSU rRNA". It matches the Rfam family "Bacterial small subunit ribosomal RNA", at positions 825 to 1520 of the family's 1533-position model. The record is from RNAcentral.